This 2460-nucleotide long non-coding RNA is filed under the name Homo sapiens (human). RNAcentral's name for it is "non-protein coding lnc-PQLC2-1:1". Lineage: Eukaryota; Metazoa; Chordata; Mammalia; Primates; Hominidae. The record is from RNAcentral.
AGAUUUCAGGAUAAGUUACCCCCAGGCCCGAAGCCCCAGCUUGCCCUGGCCUGUGCCUGCCUCAGGUGCCAGCUAGAUGUCUCGCUCCACCUGGGUCUGGGACCUGGCUCCACACCAGUUACCUGGGACCAGUAGGUGCCCUUCCAGCCUGAAGAUCUGGGGGCACAGUAUAGCCACAUGAGCCCCAAGUGUGGUCCUGAACUGGGGCCGGGUGGGGAAGAGUGAGAUGGGAUAACAUAGCCCCUGCUUGGAGGCCCUUCUCUGAUGGGGUGACAUAAUCCCUUCCUCCUGGGAAACACCAGCUUUUGGGGUGAUAGCACUUUCAGGCAGGAGCUAUGGUUCCUUCCUCAGGAGGCCUCCAAUCUGAUGGGGAAGACAUGGCCCCUCCCCCUGGGGAGUGCCCUGUGUGAUGGAGGCGAUACAGCCCCUACCUUCAGAGAGCACCUGGCCUGCAGCUCAUCCAAACCUGAGUCUCCUCUCCCUUGGAGGCCUCAUUCCAGCGCCCCAAGGAGGAUUCAAACUGUUGGGGCUGGAAGAACUUGGUGGCCUGGGUCCCUGGAGCCCUGUUGAAGGAGCUGGUGACAUUCUGAUGCUGGAGGCAGGUGACGGGGAGCACAGACUUUGUGUCCUGCACACUGAGCUCCAAGUGUGCCCCAGCCACUGAGCCUUGUGACUUGAGCAGAUGUCCGAAGCCGUUUCUUCAUCCCAUGAGACCAACAACACUGUCUGCCUCAGAACAUAGCCGUGAUCAAGAUGAGCACGGAGGCUCGUGUCCCAGCACCUGGCACACAGUCAUGGGAUGGCAGGAUGCUUGUCUCCAGGUGUGGCCUGAAGGGAAAAGUGUGGACAGUUUGGUGUGAUCAAGGAAAUGGAACCACGCUUACCAGUUGCCCUUGUCCAGGAAGGGCUGGCUCCCUUAGGACGCCCACAUGGAGCAUGAGGUUGGGCCAGGCACCCCCAGAGGUCCCCGCCUUGGCAGGUUCUGUUUUACCUGUUGAACGAGACACUGUAUGGGGAAGUGACAUGCGCAGUGCCUGGCCCAGUGCUGUGCACACACGCUGCUUCGCUUCCUCAGGUUCCGGGGAUGGGAUGGGACAGAAAAGCUGGUUGCUUAGCUGGUGGCGUUCUCCAGCAAAGCAGAAGGGAUGGUCCUGGCAGCCCUGUGCCGAGCACUGGACCCCGCGCCCUCCCUGGCUCUCUCAGCCCCAAGGUCCCAUUAGUUAUCAAACCUGGUUUUUUGUUUUUGUUUUGAGACAGAGUCACUCCGUCACCCAGGCUGGAGUGCAGUGGUACGAUCUUGGCUUACUGCAGCCUCCACCUCCUGGGCUCAAGUGAUCCUCCCACUUGAGUGCCACCACGCCCAGCUAGUUUUUGUAUUUUUGGUAGAGAUGGGGUUUCGCCAUGUUGCCCAGCAGGCUGUUCUCAAACUCCUAAGCUCAAGUGAUCCUCCCACCUCAGCCUCCCAAAUUUGCUGGGAUUCCAGGGUUUUGAAGCCACAGCCAAGACGACAUGGCCUUCCAUUCCUGAAGCCGAGGAAGGGGAGAAAGCCACAACCUUCACCACUCUCCACCCUUUCUGUCUGUGUGACUUGGCUUUCAUCGGAGCUGAAUGACGGGACCCCAGAGGUGCCGGGUGACAGCCAGGUGCAGAGCCUCAACUACCCCAGAUGGUAAAGCUUUAAACUGAUCCACUGGCCAGGUGAGGCGACUCAUGCCUGGAAUCCCAACACUUUGGGAGGCUGAGGCAGGUGGAUUGCGUAAGCUGAGUUCAAGACCAGCCUGGGCAACGUGGUGGUGUGCACCUGUAGACCUAGCUACCUGGGAGGUUAAGGUGGGAGGAUUGCUUGGGCCCUGGAGGUCAAGGCUGCAGUGAGUCAAGACAGCACCACUGCACUCCAGCCUGGGUGACAGAGACCUUGUCUCAAACAAAACAAAACAAAACAAAACAAAACAAAACAAAACACAGGAAAACCUGGAUCUGCUUAGCAUUGGCCCUAGGGCAGGGAGUGGGUUACCUUCCACCGUGGAUUAACUCAGUUCAACUGAUAACUACUCCUCCAGGCCCCCAGCCUGGGACAGCCCUGGGGACACAGUCACCCAGUAGCAGCACUGUGCCCAGCACAGGUAAGCACUCAAUAAUGACGACGGUUACUAAGUACUCCACCCCCACCAAACAGUAGGCAGAGACUGUCUCUCCUGUUGGCCAUCAUAACCCCAGUACUCAGUAGGCGCUGAAUGUUUGGUGAAUGAGUAAGUGAAGGGAAAGCUGAGGCACCAACCCUCAGGGAGCCCUCAGUCUGGUGGAUGUAACCAACAACCACAGAACUACAGAACUGUAUACUUUAGAUACAUGAAUUGUGUGGUAUGUGAAUUAUAUCUCAAAGCCAUUUGAAAAAAUACCAAAUGUGCCAUUAAGAUUUGGAUGGGAAGUUAUGGGUAAUGAGAAUAUAAUGACAUCUUG